GACGAACGCUGGCGGCGUGCUUAACACAUGCAAGUCGAGCGGUAAGGCCCUUUCGGGGGUACACGAGCGGCGAACGGGUGAGUAACACGUGGGUGACCUGCCCUCAGCUCUGGGAUAAGCCUGGGAAACCGGGUCUAAUACCGGAUAUGACUCCAUGACGCAUGUUGUGGGGUGGAAAGCCUUGUGCGGCUGAGGAUGGGCCCGCGGCCUAUCAGCUUGUUGGUGGGGUGAUGGCCUACCAAGGCGACGACGGGUAGCCGGCCUGAGAGGCGACCGGCCACACUGGGACUGAGACACGGCCCAGACUCCUACGGGAGGCAGCAGUGGGGAAUCUUGCGCAAUGGGCGAAAGCCUGACGCAGCGACGCCGCGUGAGGGAUGACGGCCUCGGUG
Molecule: ribosomal RNA, 392 nt
Filed under: uncultured bacterium
Lineage: Bacteria
Description: bacterial SSU rRNA
Rfam family: Bacterial small subunit ribosomal RNA
Source: RNAcentral